GACGAACGCUGGCGGCGUGCUUAACACAUGCAAGUCGAACGAUGAAGCCUAGCUUGCUAGGUGGAUUAGUGGCGAACGGGUGAGUAAUACGUGAGUAACCUACCUUUAACUCUGGGAUAAGCCUGGGAAACUGGGUCUAAUACCGGAUACGACCAAUCUCCGCAUGGGGUGUUGGUGGAAAGCGUUAUGUAGUGGUUAUAGAUGGGCUCACGGCCUAUCAGCUUGUUGGUGAGGUAACGGCUCACCAAGGCGACGACGGGUAGCCGGCCUGAGAGGGUGACCGGCCACACUGGGACUGAGACACGGCCCAGACUCCUACGGGAGGCAGCAGUGGGGAAUAUUGCACAAUGGGCGCAAGCCUGAUGCAGCGACGCCGCGUGAGGGAUGACGGCCUUCGGGUUGUAAACCUCUGUUAGCAGGGAAGAAGAGAGAUUGACGGUACCUGCAGAGAAAGCGCCGGCUAACUACGUGCCAGCAGCCGCGGUAAUACGUAGGGCGCGAGCGUUGUCCGGAAUUAUUGGGCGUAAAGAGCUUGUAGGCGGUUUGUCGCGUCUGCUGUGAAGGCCGGAGCUUAACUCCGUGUAUUGCAGUGGGUACGGGCAGACUAGAGUGCAGUAGGGGAGACUGGAAUUCCUGGUGUAGCGGUGGAAUGCGCAGAUAUCAGGAGGAACACCGAUGGCGAAGGCAGGUCUCUGGGCUGUAACUGACGCUGAGAAGCGAAAGCAUGGGGAGCGAACAGGAUUAGAUACCCUGGUAGUCCAUGCCGUAAACGUUGGGCACUAGGUGUGGGGAACAUUCCACGUUUUCCGCGCCGUAGCUAACGCAUUAAGUGCCCCGCCUGGGGAGUACGGCCGCAAGGCUAAAACUCAAAGAAAUUGACGGGGGCCCGCACAAGCGGCGGAGCAUGCGGAUUAAUUCGAUGCAACGCGAAGAACCUUACCAAGGCUUGACAUAUACUGGAUCGCAUCAGAGAUGGUGUUUCCCUUCGGGGCUGGUAUACAGGUGGUGCAUGGUUGUCGUCAGCUCGUGUCGUGAGAUGUUGGGUUAAGUCCCGCAACGAGCGCAACCCUCGUUCUAUGUUGCCAGCACGUUAUGGUGGGGACUCAUAGGAGACUGCCGGGGUCAACUCGGAGGAAGGUGGGGAUGACGUCAAAUCAUCAUGCCCCUUAUGUCUUGGGCUUCACGCAUGCUACAAUGGCCGGUACAGAGGGUUGCGAUACUGUGAGGUGGAGCUAAUCCCUAAAAGCCGGUCUCAGUUCGGAUUGGGGUCUGCAACUCGACCCCAUGAAGUCGGAGUCGCUAGUAAUCGCAGAUCAGCAACGCUGCGGUGAAUACGUUCCCGGGCCU
RNAcentral lists this ribosomal RNA (1347 nucleotides) under uncultured bacterium. RNAcentral's name for it is "bacterial SSU rRNA". It matches the Rfam family "Bacterial small subunit ribosomal RNA", at positions 28 to 1381 of the family's 1533-position model. The record is from RNAcentral.